GGGGCUGUUAUUUGGUUUUCGACGAUUGAAAUUUACAUAAACUUAUCAAACUAUGUUUGAAUACAUAUCUAAAACAAAGCAAACUUGUUUUGCUUAAUUUUCUGAGAAUUUUCUGCCUUUAACAGGUUAAUAUUUUUUUCUUUAAUCAUUUUAGAAAAUCUUAUAUUAAAUUUUCUAAAUGUUUGUAAUUUUAAUUGAAUUUAUUAAAGUUUAAGUGUAUACUAAAUAAAAGAGUUUUAGUUUUCAGUCGGAUGUAGGUUCAAAUCCUACCAGCUCCA
RNAcentral lists this non-coding RNA (278 nucleotides) under Lietzensia polymorpha. Lineage: Eukaryota; Eustigmatophyceae; Eustigmatales; Chlorobotryaceae. The record is from RNAcentral.